RNAcentral lists this ribosomal RNA (498 nucleotides) under uncultured bacterium. Its description in RNAcentral is "partial 16S ribosomal RNA". It matches the Rfam family "Bacterial small subunit ribosomal RNA", at positions 28 to 507 of the family's 1533-position model. The record is from RNAcentral.
GACGAACGCUGGCGGCGUGCCUAAUACAUGCAAGUCGAACGAGAGCGACCGGUGCUUGCACUGGUCAAUCUAGUGGCGAACGGGUGAGUAACACGUGGGUAACCUGCCCAUCAGAGGGGGAUAACAUCCGGAAACGGAUGCUAAAACCGCAUAGGUCUUCGAGCCGCAUGGCUUGAAGAGGAAAAGAGGCGCAAGCUUCUGCUGAUGGGUGGACCCGCGGUGCAUUAGCUAGUUGGUGAGGUAACGGCUCACCAAGGCCGUGAUGCAUAGCCGACCUGAGAGGGUGAUCGGCCACAUUGGGACUGAGACACGGCCCAAACUCCUACGGGAGGCAGCAGUAGGGAAUCUUCCGCAAUGGACGCAAGUCUGACGGAGCAACGCCGCGUGAGUGAAGAAGGUUUUCGGAUCGUAAAACUCUGUUGUUAGAGAAGAACAAGUGCUAGAGUAGCUGUUAGCGCCUUGACGGUAUCUAACCAGAAAGCCACGGCUAACUACGUG